Molecule: transfer RNA, 73 nt
Filed under: bacterium
Lineage: Bacteria
Also listed under: 2 other names
Description: tRNA-Ala
Rfam family: tRNA
About the family: Transfer RNA (tRNA) molecules are approximately 80 nucleotides in length. Their secondary structure includes four short double-helical elements and three loops (D, anti-codon, and T loops).
Source: RNAcentral
GGGGCCGUAGUUCAGUUGGGAGAACGUUUGACUGGCAGUCAAAAGGUCAGGGGUUCGACUCCCCUCGGCUCCA